Non-coding RNA from Mycena vulgaris, 93 nucleotides. NCBI's taxonomy places the organism in Eukaryota, Fungi, Basidiomycota, Agaricomycetes, Agaricales, Mycenaceae. The record is from the annotation of a GenBank genome assembly.
UCAGACGUGGUGUAGCUGGAACACAACCUUGUCUUAUAGGCAAGAAUAAUCUUCGUAUGGAGGUGGUCUAGGGUUCAACUCCCUGUGUCUGAA